GGGGAUAUAGCUCAGAUGGUAGAGUGCUUGCCUCUCAUGCAUAAGGCCCUGAGUUCAAUCCUCAGCACCA
This 70-nucleotide transfer RNA is filed under the name Marmota marmota marmota (Alpine marmot). It matches the Rfam family "tRNA". From Rfam's summary of the family: Transfer RNA (tRNA) molecules are approximately 80 nucleotides in length. Their secondary structure includes four short double-helical elements and three loops (D, anti-codon, and T loops). RNAcentral also lists the same sequence under 4 other names. Lineage: Eukaryota; Metazoa; Chordata; Mammalia; Rodentia; Sciuridae. The record is from Rfam by way of RNAcentral.